GUCCCAGUAGCUCAGUAGGAUAGAGCAACGAGCGAAACAUCGGUGAAUCGGCUGCGAGUCGUCCCGACGCAUCCGGCUUCGGUGAAAAAGCGAGAAGAGGAAGGGACGGCGCAACGUACGAAGAGAAAAAAGAAAUAGGAAACAAAGACCAAAAGAAGAAGCAAAACCGAGUCGAGUCGGGAGUUCGAAUCUCUCCUGGGACG
RNAcentral lists this transfer RNA (203 nucleotides) under Anoxybacteroides voinovskiense. RNAcentral describes it as "tRNA-Arg". The record is from RNAcentral. Lineage: Bacteria; Bacillati; Bacillota; Bacilli; Caryophanales; Anoxybacillaceae.